RNAcentral lists this transfer RNA (75 nucleotides) under Halobacteriales archaeon QH_2_66_30. RNAcentral's name for it is "tRNA-Val". It matches the Rfam family "tRNA". Rfam says of the family: Transfer RNA (tRNA) molecules are approximately 80 nucleotides in length. Their secondary structure includes four short double-helical elements and three loops (D, anti-codon, and T loops). Further hydrogen bonds mediate the characteristic L-shaped molecular structure. tRNAs have two regions of fundamental functional importance: the anti-codon, which is responsible for specific mRNA codon recognition, and the 3' end, to which the tRNAs corresponding amino acid is attached (by aminoacyl-tRNA synthetases). tRNAs cope with the degeneracy of the genetic code in two manners: having more than one tRNA (with a specific anti-codon) for a particular amino acid; and 'wobble' base-pairing, i.e. permitting non-standard base-pairing at the 3rd anti-codon position. Lineage: Archaea; Methanobacteriati; Methanobacteriota; Halobacteria; Halobacteriales. The record is from RNAcentral. RNAcentral also lists the same sequence under 2 other names.
GGGUUGGUGGUCUAGCCCGGUUAUGACGCCGCCUUCACACGGCGGAGGCCGCAGGUUCGAUUCCUGCCCAACCCA